UCUAGAUUAGGUUCAAACCAUUUCACAUUUUAGGUAGCGUGUUAAUAGACCGCCGAAAUGAAGUCGCGCCGUUAUGACUAUGGCGUUUAAUUAUUUAGACCACUUAACUAUGCCGGCUUCGAGUAAAUUCACUUGACUGUUCGUGGAGUACUUAAUGUUAUAUAGUUUUAGGGGGUGUGAGGGCUCGUACCCAGCCGGGCGCUGAAGUGCGAGUGAUAGCGAAUACCGAAGCGCACGUCUACAUGCUUCGCAUGUACAAUAGGCGGCUAUUGAUACCAAAUAGCUUAUACGUGUUAAAAACUGACCGGCGGAGACGAAUAUCACGCGAAGGGUCAACAAUUCUGGGGUAUGAAAUUUCUCAAUCGGAGCUUGAAUCGUACCGGUUGCUUGAAAAAAUACCUACGAAGGAAGUUGAAUUUACGAAAGAGUCAGCCGAAUCCUGUUCUUUGCCGAUGAAAAUGAAGAAAUUAGAAAUAUGUCAACGAUUGAGAGAGAGAAAGACAUACAACAGCAUCAUUGAUUGGUUUGUGUAUAAGAAUUCAGAUUGUUGCUGUGAAAUGUUACAUCACAAAGAAGCAUUGCCUCCAAAAUCCUGAGGACCACCUUUUGACUGAGCAUGACCGUCACCAGUAGCCAACACAUUGAUUCGUCUCCAUGAACAGUACAACAAUGGCCACAAAGGUGCAAUCCACAGCUAGCAGAAGGCAUUUUCUCAGAUGCUGUCAGUACGUGCUUGGCCAAAAUGGCAUGCAAUCAACAAGGACAUUGUUGGAUGACAUGUGGAAAGCAUGCACGAUGACAGAAAACUACAACUCGGUAGAAGGAUGGAAAAUGGCCUUAUGUCAACAAAAGAAGGAGACCAGUUCUGGAAGGAAAGUGACUGUGAGAAAGCUAGCCAACAUUGGCUGGGUGAAAUUCAUCUGGAUAAUUGACAUAUCAUUUUCUCAGAAAUAGAGGUGGCCAUGGGACUAACUGCAGCACAAAGACAAGUGUAUGGAUGUGUGCUGCAAUCUCCUGCAACACCAUAAGCAGAAUCUGGC
This is a long non-coding RNA of Centruroides sculpturatus (bark scorpion), 1040 nucleotides long. RefSeq lists it as uncharacterized. The record is from RefSeq and is a predicted model, not a curated record. The transcript has 3 exons. NCBI's taxonomy places the organism in Eukaryota, Metazoa, Arthropoda, Arachnida, Scorpiones, Buthidae.